AACGAACGCUGGCGGCAGGCCUAACACAUGCAAGUCGAAGGAGAAGCCGGGCUUCGGCCCGGUGGAAACUGGCGCACGGGUGAGUAACGCGUGGGUAUCUACCUCGGGGUGGGGAAUAACCGCUGGAAACGGCGGCUAAUACCGCAUACGCCUUCAGAGGGAAAGCUCCGGCGCCCUGAGAGGAGCCCGCGUUGGAUUAGCUUGUUGGUGGGGUAAUUGCCUACCAAGGCUACGAUCUAUAGCUGGUCUGAGAGGAUGAUCAGCCACACUGGGACUGAGACACGGCCCAGACUCCUACGGGAGGCAGCAGUGGGGAAUAUUGGACAAUGGGCGCAAGCCUGAUCCAGCCAUGCCGCGUGAGUGAAGAAGGCCUUAGGGUUGUAAAGCUCUUUCACCUGCGAAGAUGAUGACGGUAGCAGGAGAAGAAGCCCCGGCUAACUCCGUG
This 445-nucleotide ribosomal RNA is filed under the name uncultured bacterium. RNAcentral describes it as "bacterial SSU rRNA". It matches the Rfam family "Bacterial small subunit ribosomal RNA", at positions 29 to 507 of the family's 1533-position model. The record is from RNAcentral.